This 389-nucleotide ribosomal RNA is filed under the name uncultured bacterium. Its description in RNAcentral is "bacterial SSU rRNA". It matches the Rfam family "Bacterial small subunit ribosomal RNA", at positions 28 to 419 of the family's 1533-position model. The record is from RNAcentral.
GACGAACGCUGGCGGCGUGCUUAACACAUGCAAGUCGAGCGGUAAGGCCCUUUCGGGGGUACACGAGCGGCGAACGGGUGAGUAACACGUGGGUGACCUGCCCUUAGCUCUGGGAUAAGCCUGGGAAACUGGGUCUAAUACCGGAUAUGACUCCAUGACGCAUGUUGUGGGGUGGAAAGCCUUGUGCGGCUAGGGAUGGGCCCGCGGCCUAUCAGCUUGUUGGUGGGGUGAUGGCCACCAAGGCGACGACGGGUAGCCGGCCUGAGAGGGCGACCGGCCACACUGGGACUGAGACACGGCCCAGACUCCUACGGGAGGCAGCAGUGGGGAAUCUUGCGCAAUGGGCGAAAGCCUGACGCAGCGACGCCGCGUGAGGGAUGACGGCCUGG